GGGGGAUAUUGCACAAUGGAGGAAACUCUGAUGCAGCAACGCCGCGUGAGGGAAGACGGUUUUCGGAUUGUAAACCUCUGUCCUUGGUGACGAAACAAAUGACGGUAGCCAAGGAGGAAGCUCCGGCUAACUACGUGCCAGCAGCCGCGGUAAUACGUAGGUGGCGAGCGUUGUCCGGAAUUACUGGGUGUAAAGGGCGUGUAGGCGGGAAUGUAAGUCAGAUGUGAAAUCCCAGGGCUUAACUCUGGAGCUGCAUCUGAAACUAUGUUUCUUGAGUGUCGGAGAGGAAAGCGGAAUUCCUAGUGUAGCGGUGAAAUGCGUAGAUAUUAGGAGGAACACCAGUGGCGAAGGCGGCUUUCUGGACGAUAACUGACGCUGAGGCGCGAAAGCGUGGGGAGCAAACA
This 404-nucleotide ribosomal RNA is filed under the name uncultured Clostridium sp. RNAcentral describes it as "bacterial SSU rRNA". It matches the Rfam family "Bacterial small subunit ribosomal RNA", at positions 356 to 774 of the family's 1533-position model. The record is from RNAcentral. Lineage: Bacteria; Bacillati; Bacillota; Clostridia; Eubacteriales; Clostridiaceae.